RNAcentral lists this ribosomal RNA (253 nucleotides) under uncultured bacterium. RNAcentral describes it as "partial 16S ribosomal RNA". It matches the Rfam family "Bacterial small subunit ribosomal RNA", at positions 524 to 776 of the family's 1533-position model. The record is from RNAcentral.
UACAGAGGUCUCGAGCGUUAGGCGGAAUCACUGGGCUUAAAGCGUGUGUAGGCGGACUGGUAAGUACCUUGUGAAAUCCCACGGCUCAACCGUGGAACUGCUGGGUAUACUGCUUGUCUUGUGCAACCUAGGGGCGAGCGGAACAGAUGGUGGAGCGGUGAAAUGCGUAGAUAUCAUCUGGAACGCCAAUGGUGAAAACAGCUCGCUGGGGGUUUGCAGACGCUGAGACACGAAAGCGUGGGGAGCGAACAGG